Long non-coding RNA from Daphnia pulicaria, 709 nucleotides. RefSeq lists it as uncharacterized. NCBI's taxonomy places the organism in Eukaryota, Metazoa, Arthropoda, Branchiopoda, Diplostraca, Daphniidae. The transcript is spliced from 3 exons. The record is from RefSeq and is a predicted model, not a curated record.
CGGUAAAAUACUUUUCAUAUUGUCAUAUAAAAUGAACUACAACACACACAUCGAACAUUAACAAAUCGGAUUAUCUUCAUGCCCGUUGCAUUCUCUGCUGCCAAUUGGAAUGGCUAAAGAUAAAUUUUGCCAAUAGUUAAUAAUUAUUAGUAGUAAUUAUUAGUUAAUAUUUAAUAACCUACAGGAUGUUACUCUGGUGGAGACAUACACGAAAACUGACAGCAGUUAAUGGAUGAAAGACACUACCCCUCUGGUCAACUUAAUGUACUAAACAGUGAGUGGUUAUAUUUCUUGCUAUGCCAACUGAAUCUUUCCAAGAGCUGUGAAGCCACAAUGUGCUGGUCAACGCGGUUGAACGAAUUAAACUGGACUGCGACAUUCAAAUUUCGAUUCAUCCGAUUUACCAGUGAGUCUCCAGAGCCACGCUUGUCACUGCCUUAUUGUUGGACAUUCCAUGCCUAGUGAAGAAUGCGAAUUGACGGAUAAACCGCUUGCCGAGCACUGUACCUUUCGUUUACAUCCUGGCUUUAGUUUCUCUUUUGGAUUCAAGAAACCCCCAUCAUGUCCGGCUGUGGAAUUCCUCUAAUCAAACAUCGUGUACGUCGUAUCGCUGACUGGUGCACUACGCUCUCUUGCUGUGCUGACGUCCGGGUGGAUUGGUUCUUCUGGAAAAGUUGUGAAAUCGGAUUUCUGCUCACGUAAAGGAAUG